This 23-nucleotide non-coding RNA is filed under the name Cricetulus griseus (Chinese hamster). Lineage: Eukaryota; Metazoa; Chordata; Mammalia; Rodentia; Cricetidae. The record is from RNAcentral.
UGACUGGGGCCGGAACAAGACAC